This is a long non-coding RNA of Trachymyrmex septentrionalis, 398 nucleotides long. RefSeq lists it as uncharacterized. The record is from RefSeq and is a predicted model, not a curated record. The transcript is spliced from 3 exons. NCBI's taxonomy places the organism in Eukaryota, Metazoa, Arthropoda, Insecta, Hymenoptera, Formicidae.
ACACCUCGCACAUCAUGAAUCGAACAACGUCGAAUAUAAAUUUCAAUCGGCCAUAAUCGGCUCGUCGUUUUCUGAAUGAAGUUCCAUCGACGUGACUGCGCAUCUCCCGACCUCGCCAGGAGCAAACUCGCGAGAGAGAAAAAGUUGGAGUAACAAAUAUGGAUGGGGUACCCGAGUGUGUAUAUCAAGAGUGGAAAAAAAAAUAUUUUGUACGGAUGACUCCUAUAAAAGAAAAAGAACAAGAAUAUGUAAAAUUACUGCCAAUUGUGUCAGUUUUGAGGCCCAUUUUGUCAGAUUUCAUCCGCAGACCCUCAUUUGUUUAUCUUGCCAAAAAAAAUUAAUCAUUGCAAAAUUGCAAACAGUACUAUAAAACUACUUUUAUAUCAUCUGACAUGAUA